Molecule: ribosomal RNA, 481 nt
Filed under: uncultured bacterium
Lineage: Bacteria
Description: partial 16S ribosomal RNA
Rfam family: Bacterial small subunit ribosomal RNA
Source: RNAcentral
GAUGAACGCUGGCGGCGUGCUUAACACAUGCAAGUCGAACGAAGCAUUUAAGACAGAUUACUUCGGUUUGAAGUCUUUUAUGACUGAGUGGCGGACGGGUGAGUAACGCGUGGGUAACCUGCCUCAUACAGGGGGAUAGCAGCUGGAAACGGCUGGUAAUACCGCAUAAGCGCACAGUACCACAUGGUACAGUGUGAAAAACUCCGGUGGUAUGAGAUGGACCCGCGUCUGAUUAGCUUGUUGGCGGGGUAACGGCCCACCAAGGCGACGAUCAGUAGCCGACCUGAGAGGGUGACCGGCCACAUUGGGACUGAGACACGGCCCAGACUCCUACGGGAGGCAGCAGUGGGGAAUAUUGCACAAUGGAGGAAACUCUGAUGCAGCGACGCCGCGUGUGUGAAGAAGUAGUUCGCUAUGUAAAGCUCUAUCAGCAGGGAAGAUAGUGACGGUACCUGACUAAGAAGCUCCGGCUAAAUACGUG